CUGCCUCAGCCUUGAGGAAACCGGGCCUCGCUGAGGGCCGUAUAUACGUUCCUUCCUUUACGCCCUUGCUUGGUUCCAGGGCAGGACCUGAGGGGCUAUGCUCAGUGCGUCUCCUUCCCGACUCUUCCAGGCGGCUCCUCCACUGACACGUAUGUUCACCCAUUCAGCAGAAGCUUUCGUAUGCUGACACUGCAGUCUAUGAAAUGCACUCAAAGAAAAUGAAGUGAAGGUGCAGGUGGUGCUUGACCAUCUUCAGAGUUCUUCCACAUGUGCUGCUGGUCUCACCUCCUCCCUCCAAGGCAAGGGUAAGAGGCCCAGAGGAUGCAGUGACUUGCCUAAGGUAUCAGCUGAACAGUGUGUAACAGACUCAACCUCAGGCCCUCCGACACUGAGCCAGCUUACGUGACGGGACAGCUCACUGCAGGAGGACAGAGCAGCGCAUAAACGGAUCAGACAGGGCCUCCCUGCAAGUCUCCACAACCAGCUGCCAACUCUGGAGGCUCCACAUUGCGAUGGGUAAUUGUAAUUGCCUGAAUACAAUGGGUGGCUUUUUCCUCCGUG
Molecule: non-coding RNA, 561 nt
Organism: Manis javanica (Malayan pangolin)
Lineage: Eukaryota; Metazoa; Chordata; Mammalia; Pholidota; Manidae
Source: RefSeq, a predicted model, not a curated record